Molecule: ribosomal RNA, 253 nt
Filed under: uncultured bacterium
Lineage: Bacteria
Description: partial 16S ribosomal RNA
Rfam family: Bacterial small subunit ribosomal RNA
Source: RNAcentral
AACGUAGGUACCGAGCGUUAUCCGGAUUUACUGGGCGUAAAGCGCGUUCAGGCGGUCGGGCAAGUCGGGCAUGAAAUCUCUCGGCUCAACCGGGAGGCGUUGUCCGAUACUGCCGGGCUCGAGGGCAGUAGAGGGUGGUGGAAUUCCGGGUGUAGUGGUGAAAUGCGUAGAGAUCCGGAGGAACACCAGUGGCGAAAGCGGCCACCUGGACUGCACCUGACGCUCAAACGCGAAAGCUAGGGGAGCGAACGGG